Gadus macrocephalus (Pacific cod) is the source of this 2044-nucleotide long non-coding RNA. RefSeq lists it as uncharacterized. NCBI's taxonomy places the organism in Eukaryota, Metazoa, Chordata, Actinopteri, Gadiformes, Gadidae. The transcript has 5 exons. The record is from RefSeq and is a predicted model, not a curated record.
UAUUCGCGUAUCUUGUAGAGUUUGUUGCCAACAGAAACUAUUUUUCAGUCAGUUUCCAUUAGGAAUUGUUGCCCCUUAUCUUAAACGACUUACGUUUGAUAUUGAAUACACACUGACGCGUACAUCGUACAAUAUGGUGAUCAUUUCCGACUGUUGCGCCGACUUUAACCACGUUGACGGGACUCUCGCUGCGUUCAAAACAACGUUCUACUUGCGGGCCCAUUUCUGAUCAUCAGUGAAGGCUGAAGAUCAUUUCAAGGUGGAUGACAAUUUGGCAUUUCUUCGACGGAACCCUGCACCUGAAUAUGGCUGAGUAUAUUUGAUUUAAUAUCGAUACUGCUUAGUGUUCUUUGUUACUUCAGCUUUCGUACGUUCUAAAUAUCUGGUGUCAAUAAUUGCCACAGAAGUAAAACCCUACCCAAUGGAAUGACGUUAAACAACAACUUUGGUGCUUGGUUACCAACUGGAUAAUAACAAAGCUAAAAUAAUGUCUGUCUUUCCCACAUGUUACAGUAGAAGAAACUCUAGAACUGUAUAAGGUUAAAAAGGUAACAUGUUUGUCCCAAGGUGUCUGCCUCCUCACCCAGAGCCAGACCUCCACCUCCUCACCCAGAGCCAGACCUCCUCACCCAGAGCCAGACCUCCUCACCCAGAGCCAGACCUCCUCACCCAGAGCCAGACCUCCACCUCCUCACCCAGAGCCAGACCUCCACCUCCACCUCCUCACCCAGAGCCAGACCUCCACCUCCUCACCCAGAGCCAGACCUCCACCUGCUGUCAGAAGUUCUCCAGAACAGCUGAAAGGCGAGGCUGAGAGGCUGGGGACCGGAGGCUUGUGGUGCCAGGAUGGACCGGAGACUGAGGCUGGAGACCAGGGGCCUGCAGCACCGGACCAGAGGGUGAUUUACUGCUGAGACCAACUGUUUGUGACCAGACCAGGAAUCCAUGGCUGAAGGGGCUGAUGGAGGAGCCGUGCUGAAGAACCUGCCUGAUGGAGAAGCCGUGCUGAAGGCCCUUCCGGGUGAAGGAGCUGAUGGAGGCUCUGCCUGGUGGAGGAACUGAUGGAGGCCCUGCCUGGUGGAGGCUUUCUGUCGUUGGGUAGAUGGAGCCCGACUCUGAAGUGAUCAUCACACUCAGUGCCACUUAACGUAGAAUACUGCUACCACAAACUACCGGCAUUUGUUAAUAUACCAGACAACUACAUCUGUUUUACCACACAUUGAAGCAAGACUUCAGCUGUUUGUUCCAGACCAGGACUCUGGCUGAGGAGCGCUGAUGGAGGAGCCAAGACUCUGGAGGACGACACCACUCUACCAACAAGGAUCCUUGUCAGUUUGCAUAAAAGACAAAUUACGUUUGUAACCAGACCAGGAAUCUGGAGUGCUGACGGAGAAGCCAUAGAUCUGGAAGGCAAAUCCUGAGGACGACCAGGACUCUACCAUCAAGGAUUCCUCACACACCAGAGCUGAACCUCGCCUGAUCCUGUUUGGUCGGGGUCCGACUCACCUGAGCUGAACCCCACCUGAUCCUGCUGGUCCCGUCUUCUCAGUUCAUCUUAGCCUCAUCUUCCAGAAGACCUGCUGAACUCAGCGGUCUGAUCCUGAUGGAUCAAUGACCUCCAGUGGGAGUGAUCUUUUUGACCCCACAUGUACCCGUGUGCUUCCACACGCCUUUCCCUCACGUCUGUCACUAACCUCACUACUUCACUAAUCUCUACUCCUUACCUUCUUCUUCCUUCUCCGUGGUUCGAGCCUUUACUCUGAAGGAGUGUCUUCUUGAACAUUUACACUGAAGGACCGUCUUCCUGCCCUCAGAGGGUUCAGCGUUAGGGUUGAGAGUCAGGGUUUAGAGUCAGGGACAGAGCUGGUCAGGGAGGACUGGUUUUACACAAACCCCUUCAUUUGCUUUUGUGAAUGGUGGUGACAUUUUGAAAUUAUUAAUUUGGGAAAAUGUUUUCCUCUGCUUUCCUUUACAAAAGUAUGUAUUCAACUUCUGUCAAGUGUUUUUGUUUACACUGUAUAUUAAAAUCCUACAUUGACUUCUG